GGGAAAUGAGGAAUGGGUUAAAUCUCGCUUAAAUGCGUGAAGAGUGUUCCACUCAAAGCCUGUUACGACAAUUGGGCACUCCAAUUCUCUAUAUCAUCUGAUCCC
Arabis alpina (gray rockcress) is the source of this 105-nucleotide small nucleolar RNA. It matches the Rfam family "Small nucleolar RNA Z279/snoR105/snoR108". Rfam says of the family: This family includes the plant snoRNAs known as Z279, snoR105 and snoR108. Lineage: Eukaryota; Viridiplantae; Streptophyta; Magnoliopsida; Brassicales; Brassicaceae. The record is from Rfam.